UCCGUAGGUGGAUAAUUAAGUCAGAGGUGAAAUUCUGCAGCUCAACUGUAGAAUUGCCUUUGAUACUGGUUAUCUUGAGUCAUUAUGAAGUGGUUAGAAUGUGUAGUGUAGCGGUGAAAUGCAUAGAUAUUACACAGAAUACCGAUUGCGAAGGCAGAUCACUAAUAAUGUACUGACACUGAUGGACGAAAGCGUGGGGAGCGAACAGGAUUAGAUACCCUGGUAGUCC
RNAcentral lists this ribosomal RNA (229 nucleotides) under uncultured bacterium. Its description in RNAcentral is "partial 16S ribosomal RNA". It matches the Rfam family "Bacterial small subunit ribosomal RNA", at positions 568 to 796 of the family's 1533-position model. The record is from RNAcentral.